UACGUAGGGUGCAAGCGUUAUCCGGAAUUAUUGGGCGUAAAGAGCUCGUAGGCGGCUUUGCAAGUCGGGUGUGAAAGCCCUCAGCUCAACUGAGGAAGUGCGCCCGAAACUGCAGAGCUUGAGUGCCGGAGAGGAUAGUGGAAUUCCCAGUGUAGUGGUGAAAUACGUAGAGAUUGGGAAGAACACCAGUGGCGAAGGCGGCUAUCUGGACGGUUUCUGACGCUAAGACGCGAAAGCGUGGGGAGCAAACAGG
This 253-nucleotide ribosomal RNA is filed under the name uncultured bacterium. RNAcentral describes it as "partial 16S ribosomal RNA". It matches the Rfam family "Bacterial small subunit ribosomal RNA", at positions 524 to 776 of the family's 1533-position model. The record is from RNAcentral.